Molecule: transfer RNA, 72 nt
Filed under: Camelus dromedarius (Arabian camel)
Lineage: Eukaryota; Metazoa; Chordata; Mammalia; Artiodactyla; Camelidae
Also listed under: 1 other name
Rfam family: tRNA
About the family: Transfer RNA (tRNA) molecules are approximately 80 nucleotides in length. Their secondary structure includes four short double-helical elements and three loops (D, anti-codon, and T loops).
Source: Rfam by way of RNAcentral
GGGCAUAUAGCUCAGUGGUAGAGCACAUGCUUAGCAUGCACAAGGUCCUGGGUUCAAUUCCAAGUGCCUCCA